GAUGAACGCUGGCGGCGUGCCUAAUACAUGCAAGUAGAACGCUGAAGGAAGGAGCUUGCUCUUUCCGGAUGAGUUGCGAACGGGUGAGUAACGCGUAGGUAACCUGCCUGGUAGCGGGGGAUAACUAUUGGAAACGAUAGCUAAUACCGCAUAACAGUAGAUGUUGCAUGAUAUCUACUUAAAAGGUGCAAUUGCACCACUACCAGAUGGACCUGCGUUGUAUUAGCUAGUUGGGGAGGUAACGGCUCACCAAGGCGGCGAUACAUAGCCGACCUGAGAGGGGGAAUGGCCACCCCUGGACUGAGACACGGCCCAGACUCCUACGGGAGGCAGCAGGAGGGAAUCUUCGGCAAUGGACGGAAGGCUGACCGAGCAACGCCGCGUGAGGGAAGAAGGUUUUCGGAUCGGAAAGCCCGGUUGUAAGGGAAGAACGAGUGUGAGAGUGGAAAGUUCACACUGUGACGGUAUCUUAACAGAAAGGGACGGCUAACUACGUG
RNAcentral lists this ribosomal RNA (497 nucleotides) under uncultured bacterium. Its description in RNAcentral is "partial 16S ribosomal RNA". It matches the Rfam family "Bacterial small subunit ribosomal RNA", at positions 28 to 507 of the family's 1533-position model. The record is from RNAcentral.